RNAcentral lists this ribosomal RNA (465 nucleotides) under Vreelandella stevensii. Its description in RNAcentral is "partial 16S ribosomal RNA". It matches the Rfam family "Bacterial small subunit ribosomal RNA", at positions 338 to 795 of the family's 1533-position model. Lineage: Bacteria; Pseudomonadati; Pseudomonadota; Gammaproteobacteria; Oceanospirillales; Halomonadaceae. The record is from RNAcentral.
CCUACGGGGGGCAGCAGUGGGGAAUAUUGGACAAUGGGGGCAACCCUGAUCCAGCCAUGCCGCGUGUGUGAAGAAGGCCCUCGGGUUGUAAAGCACUUUCAGUGAGGAAGAACGCCUGGUGGUUAAUACCCAUCAGGAAAGACAUCACUCACAGAAGAAGCACCGGCUAACUCCGUGCCAGCAGCCGCGGUAAUACGGAGGGUGCGAGCGUUAAUCGGAAUUACUGGGCGUAAAGCGCGCGUAGGUGGCUUGAUAAGCCGGUUGUGAAAGCCCCGGGCUCAACCUGGGAACGGCAUCCGGAACUGUCAAGCUAGAGUGCAGGAGAGGAAGGUAGAAUUCCCGGUGUAGCGGUGAAAUGCGUAGAGCUCGGGAGGAAUACCAGUGGCGAAGGCGGCCUUCUGGACUGACACUGACACUGAGGUGCGAAAGCGUGGGUAGCAAACAGGAUUAGAUACCCGAGUAGUC